GGGUCCUGGUGCUUCUGGGAGGCGAAGCGGGAGGGAGUGACCCCCGUGCUCCUCUAUCCCUGUACGACGUCGCCUCCAUAGCCUGCGGAGAAGCGGGGACCGCGCUCAUCGCCUCGCCUCACAGCGGAACGCCGCGCACUCGGAGCCGGCACUGCUCGGCGGGUUUUGGUUUUUUGCACUGAAUGUAACCUAGAUUCAUCUUCACGGGCUUGUAUUGCCCCAGAUACUGUCAAAGGCAGUGUUUGUGUGUUUCUGCAGAGUUUUGCACAGAGUCUGUUCCCAUGCAAACCAAUGAGGGAGAAGUAUCAGAAGAAAGCAGUUCCAAGUUCUUCCUGGGAGUUCCUGAGGGUAUCUCACAUUGUCUCCUGAGCAGUCCCCAGCACCCACAGCAUUAUCUGCUACCCUGGAUCCACCUGGGGGGAUCCUUUGCUGCUGCCACUACUACCUGUGCUCUCUGUGGGAAGGCUUAUUCCUUCACCAGAGCAGAAGUGGAGAGGUGUCAAAAUGUCACUAAGAACCUCUAAAACAUCAUGCUAAGUGGAAGAAGCCAGGUGCAAAAGUCACAUACUGUAUGAUUCAAUUUAUAUGACAUGUGCAAAAGAUAAAUCCAUAGAGACUGAGUGCAGAUUGGUGGUUUCUGGGGAUUAGUUGGGGGAGGAAGAGGAGAGGGCUUUGACUGCCUGAUGGGUAUGGGGUUUCCCUUUGAGGGAUAGAGGUGGUGAAUGUACAAUAUUGUAAAUAUACUAAAUGCCACUAAAUUGUGCACCUUAAGAUGGUUAACUUCAUGUUAUGUGAAUUUCACAUCAAUAAAUUAUUAAAUUUAAAAAGUGGGGAAAAAAAUGUCACCGGGUUGCCAU
This is a long non-coding RNA of Galeopterus variegatus (Sunda flying lemur), 857 nucleotides long. RefSeq lists it as uncharacterized. Lineage: Eukaryota; Metazoa; Chordata; Mammalia; Dermoptera; Cynocephalidae. The transcript has 4 exons. The record is from RefSeq and is a predicted model, not a curated record.